UAUAAUAAGAAGAAGCAGUCACCAACGAACCAUAAUACUUUAUUGUUAUCAUAUAUUGGCCUUCGUACGUAAGCAAUUAUUUUUGUAAUAAUUAAAAUGAACGCGCAAAGUCUUUUGUAAAAUUAUUAUUAUUAGGUAUAUCUAAUCGAUUUGUCGUUUUCCCCUUCUGUAUUUUCUUCAACUCAUUAGAGAAUUUU
Molecule: non-coding RNA, 197 nt
Organism: Arachis ipaensis
Lineage: Eukaryota; Viridiplantae; Streptophyta; Magnoliopsida; Fabales; Fabaceae
Source: RefSeq, a predicted model, not a curated record